GAUGAACGCUGGCGGCGUGCCUAAUACAUGCAAGUCGAACGAAACUUCUUUACCACCGUGUGCUUGCACUCAGCGUAACAGGGUUGAGUGGCGAACGUGUGCGGAACAUGUGUGCAAGCUGCCUACAAGAGGGGGAUAACACUAGGAAACAGGUGCUACUACCGCAUAACGAUAGUUACAGCAUGGCAACUAUGUGAAAGGUGGCCACACUAUCGCAUCUGGAUGGGGGGGCGGUGCCUUAGCUAGUUGUUGGGGUAAAGCCUUACCAAGACGAUGACGCGUAUCCGAAUGGAUAGGUUGGUCGGCCACAUGGGAGGGGAGACACGGCCCAUGCGCCUACGAGAGGGAGCAGUAGGGAAUCGGCCGCAGUGGGCGAAAGCCUGAUAGAGCGACGGCGCGUGGGUGAAGGAGAUCUUCGGAGCGUAAUGCCCUGUUGUUGGUGAAAAAAGGGCGUGGGAGUAACUGUUGACGUAUCGACGGUAUCGAACCAGAAAGCCACGGCUAACUACGUG
RNAcentral lists this ribosomal RNA (512 nucleotides) under uncultured bacterium. Its description in RNAcentral is "partial 16S ribosomal RNA". It matches the Rfam family "Bacterial small subunit ribosomal RNA", at positions 28 to 507 of the family's 1533-position model. The record is from RNAcentral.